RNAcentral lists this ribosomal RNA (494 nucleotides) under uncultured bacterium. RNAcentral describes it as "partial 16S ribosomal RNA". It matches the Rfam family "Bacterial small subunit ribosomal RNA", at positions 28 to 507 of the family's 1533-position model. The record is from RNAcentral.
GACGAACGCUGGCGGCGUGCUUAACACAUGCAAGUCGAGCGGUGAAGCGCCUUCCUUUUUGGUGGGUGUGGAUGAGUGGCGAACGGGUGAGUAACACGUGAGUAACCUGCCCCCUUCUUCUGGAUAACCGCAUGAAAGUGUGGCUAAUACGGGAUAUUCUGGGUCUGUCGCAUGAUGGGUCUGGGAAAGAUAUUGUUUCGGUGGGGGAUGGGCUCGCGGCCUAUCAGCUUGUUGGUGGGGUGAUGGCCUACCAAGGCGGUGACGGGUAGCCGGCCUGAGAGGGUGGACGGUCACACUGGGACUGAGACACGGCCCAGACUCCUACGGGAGGCAGCAGUGGGGAAUAUUGCACAAUGGGCGCAAGUCUGAUGCAGCGACGCCGCGUGAGGGAUGGAGGCCUUCGGGUUGUGAACCUCUUUCGCCAGUGAAGCAGGCCUGCCUCGUUUGUGGGUGGGUUGACGGUAGCUGGAGAAGAAGCGCCGGCUAACUACGUG